UCGAGCGAACAGACGAGGAGCUUGCUCCUCUGACGUUAACGGCGGACGGGUGAGUAACACGUGGAUAACCUACCUAUAAGACUGGGAUAACUUCGGGAAACCGGAGCUAAUACCGGAUAAUAUAUUGAACCGCAUGGUUCUUUAUUGAAAGACGGUUUUGCUGUCACUUAUAUAUGGAUCCGCGCCGCAUUAGCUAUUUGGUAAGGUAACGGCUUACCAAGGCAACGAUGCGUAGCCGACCUGAGAGGGUGAUCAGCCACACUGGAACUGAGACACGGUCCAAACUCCUACGGGAGGCAACACUAAGGAAUCUUCCGCAAUGGGCGAAAGCCUGACGGAACAACGCCGCGUGAGUGAUGAAGGUCUUCGGAUCGUAAAACUCUGUUAUUAGGGAAGAACAAAUGUGUAAAUAACUAUGCGCGUCUUGACGGGACCUAAUCUUAAAGCCACGGCUAACUACGUGCCAGCAGCCGCGGUAAUACGUAGGUGGCAAGCGUUAUCCGGAAUUAUUGGGCGUAAAGCGCGCGGAGGCGGUUUUUUAAGUCUGAUGUGAAAGCCCACGGAUCAACCGUGGAGGGGCAUUGGAAACUGGAAAACUUGAAUGCAGAAGAGGAAAGUGGAAUUCCAUGUGUAGCGAUGUACUGCUCAGAGAUAUGGAGGAACACCAGUGGCGAAGACGACUUUCUGCUCUGUAACUGACGCUGAUGUGCGAAGACGUGGAGAUCAAACAGGAUUAGAUACCCUGGUAGUCCACGCCGUAGACGAUGAGUGCUAAGUGUUAGGGGGUUCUCCGCCCCUUAGUGCUGCAGCUAACGCAUUGAUGCACUCCGCCUGGUGAGUACUACGGCAAGGGUAGAAACCUCAAAGGAGUUGACAGGCACCCGCACUAGACGGUGGAGCAUGUGAGUCUAAUGUCAGAAGCAACGCGUAGUACCAUACCAAAUCAUGACAUCCUCUGACCCCUCUAGAGAUAUGAGUUUUCCCCUUCAGGAGAUAUAGUGACAGUGGUGCAUGAUUGUCGUCGCCUCGUGUCCUGAGAUGUCAGUUUAAGUACCGUCACGAGC
Molecule: ribosomal RNA, 1064 nt
Filed under: Staphylococcus sp.
Lineage: Bacteria; Bacillati; Bacillota; Bacilli; Caryophanales; Staphylococcaceae
Description: bacterial SSU rRNA
Rfam family: Bacterial small subunit ribosomal RNA
Source: RNAcentral